RNAcentral lists this ribosomal RNA (465 nucleotides) under uncultured bacterium. RNAcentral's name for it is "partial 16S ribosomal RNA". It matches the Rfam family "Bacterial small subunit ribosomal RNA", at positions 28 to 507 of the family's 1533-position model. The record is from RNAcentral.
GACGAACGCUGGCGGCGUGCUUAACACAUGCAAGUCGAACGGAAAGGCCCCUUUGGGGAUACUCGAGUGGCGAACGGGUGAGUAACACGUGAGUAACCUGCCCUUGACUUCGGGAUAACUUCAGGAAACUGGGGCUAAUACCGGAUAGGAAUCCUUGCUGCAUGGUGGGGGUUGGAAAGCUUCGGCGGUUUUGGAUGGACUCGCGGCUUAUCAGCUUGUUGGUGGGGUAGUGGCUUACCAAGGCUUUGACGGGUAGCCGGCCUGAGAGGGCGACCGGCCACAUUGGGACUGAGAUACGGCCCAGACUCCUACGGGAGGCAGCAGUGGGGAAUAUUGCACAAUGGGCGGAAGCCUGAUGCAGCAACGCCGCGUGCGGGAUGACGGCCUUCGGGUUGUAAACCGCUUUCAGCAGGGGCGAAGCUUGUGGUGACGGUACCUGCAGAAGAAGCACCGGCUAACUACGUG